Long non-coding RNA from Cebus imitator (Panamanian white-faced capuchin), 683 nucleotides. RefSeq lists it as uncharacterized. The record is from RefSeq and is a predicted model, not a curated record. NCBI's taxonomy places the organism in Eukaryota, Metazoa, Chordata, Mammalia, Primates, Cebidae. The transcript is spliced from 2 exons.
CUGGUCUCUAACUCUUGACGUUGGGUAAUCCACCCACCUCGGCCUCCCAAAGUGCUGGGAUUAUAGGCUUGAGCCACUCACUGUGCCUGGCCAGUGAAUAAUUAAAAGAUGGUAAGACCUUUUCUUUUUAGGGUAGUUGCAAAACAUCUAUUCUUGGUAACUGUGUUAAUUCAUGUAAUUGUUUUGGAGACAUAUAUCUAUAUAACUAUAUAAGAUAUCUUUUAUUCUGUUAAUCACUAUCUAGGGAAAUUGCCCUUUAAAAGUCUAAAGAGGAAAAAGCUAUCAGUAAAAAUUGAGUAGUUGUGAUAGAGACUGUGUCAGUCUGCAGAGGUGAAAAUAUUUACCAUCAGGCUUGUUAAGAAAAAUGUUGCUUAUCCUUCCUUCACAGGAAAGCAGUCUGGGGCUGGUCUGAUGAUUCCUUGAUCUUUGGCCCGAGGUUCUUCCAGCCUCAGCUUCUUUCUUAUGUUCCAUAACUGUUGCUUUAUGCACAUCUUCACUGUAGCCAGCAAUAGGAGGAAAUGGGAAAAGGGGGAGGCAGAAAUGGAGUCAUUGGAGUGGGUAGGUAUGCAUUGAAAACCUGAGGAAGAUGGGGAGAAUGGAAAAUGGGGUUCAUUUGCAGGCUGUACCACUUGUCUGAGUUGUUGGAGACACCUGACCAGUAAACUUGAAGUACCUUGUCGGUA